UACGAGGGGGGCAAGUGUUGUUCGGAAUCACUGGGCGUAAAGGGAGCGUAGGCGGGCGCUUAAGUGGGAUGUUUAAAACCGGGGCCCAACCCCGGAGCGGCAUUCCAAACUGGGCGUCUUGAAUAGGGGAGAGGUCGAUGGAAUUGGAGGUGUAGCGGUGGAAUGCGUAGAGAUCUCCAAGAACACCGAUUGCGAAGGCAGUCGACUGGACCCAUAUUGACGCUGAGGCUCGAAAGCAUGGGGAGCAAACGGG
Molecule: ribosomal RNA, 253 nt
Filed under: uncultured bacterium
Lineage: Bacteria
Description: partial 16S ribosomal RNA
Rfam family: Bacterial small subunit ribosomal RNA
Source: RNAcentral